Molecule: non-coding RNA, 802 nt
Organism: Epinephelus lanceolatus (giant grouper)
Lineage: Eukaryota; Metazoa; Chordata; Actinopteri; Perciformes; Serranidae
Source: RefSeq, a predicted model, not a curated record
UAUUACACUACAUGAUUGUGUUUAUCCCAAGUAAAGUGAAAAAUUAAUACUUUUGUCAAAAUUUCGCCUUCAAAAAUGAAUGUAUCAGAUACAUUUAACAUUCAAUGGAUGUCAGAAAAGCCUAAUGAACUUCAACUUUUUGCACAUAUGAGGACAAAAUGUGGAAAAAAUGCAACAAAAUGGUUAAACUGAAACCAAAAGCUAUGUUCAGUGCAAACUGUAAACCUAACAUUAGCUAUUCAUCUCUAUGAGCUGUAUGUUUACAUACAUUUUAAUACAUAUAUUAAUACAUAAAUAAAUUGUUCAGCCACUGUAAUCUGACUGACAUAACACUGCUCUGAUGUUCUAAACAUUAUCCCACACUCCCAUAGGUACAUCCUGUGUGCAAACACCAAAGGAACCAGACGCAGAGGGAUGUGUUAGGUGCUGAGAUGGACAUACUUCCCAGGGUCCUUUGUGAACAAAGUUGCUGAGAUCAGCUCAUCGGCGCACCCGGCAGUCUCUCCCUGGGCACCCGGGCAGCAGCUGUCGGAAUACACUCGGCUUUGUGUUUUUAUACGAGAGAAGAGCACAGAGUGACUGCCACAUAUGAAGAGAGCGGGAAUCAAAGGAAGCCAUGGAAUGCGUCAGAGUAAAAAUGAACACGAGAGUGAAUGACGGUUGCUCGGAAGGCUGAUGUUACUAUAUGUGCCGCUGCUCCUCAUUUCACACCCAGAUGAUUCUCGGCUCACAUCAUGUGAGAAUGAAUUUGAACAGGAGAGAAGAUACAGAAGAUGUUAAACAUUAAAUUGUUUUUUCAUUC